CCCUUAGAUGUCCUGGGCUGCACGCGCGCUACACUGGAAGUUACGGAUUGAGAUACUACCUUGUCCGAAAUGGUCCGGGUAAUCACCUAAAAGCUUGUCAUAAUUGGAAUGGAUUAUUGUAACUAGUAAUCCUGAACGAGGAAUUCCUAGUAAGUCUCAGUCAACAGCUGGUACUGAUUACGUCCCUGCCCUUUGUACACACCGCCCGUCGCUACUACUGAUUGGACGUUUAAGCAAGAUUUUUAAACACUGACAGUGUGUAGUUCACGCUAUACUACAGUGAGAAGAAGAAGAUCGAGCUUACUUGUCUAGAGGAAGUAAAAGUCGUAACA
Molecule: ribosomal RNA, 332 nt
Filed under: uncultured eukaryote
Lineage: Eukaryota
Description: partial 18S ribosomal RNA
Rfam family: Eukaryotic small subunit ribosomal RNA
Source: RNAcentral